Molecule: ribosomal RNA, 581 nt
Filed under: Escherichia coli
Lineage: Bacteria; Pseudomonadati; Pseudomonadota; Gammaproteobacteria; Enterobacterales; Enterobacteriaceae
Description: bacterial SSU rRNA
Rfam family: Bacterial small subunit ribosomal RNA
Source: RNAcentral
UUUAAUUCGAUGCAACGCGAAGAACCUUACCUGGUCUUGACAUCCACAGAACUUUCCAGAGAUGGAUUGGUGCCUUCGGGAACUGUGAGACAGGUGCUGCAUGGCUGUCGUCAGCUCGUGUUGUGAAAUGUUGGGUUAAGUCCCGCAACGAGCGCAACCCUUAUCCUUUGUUGCCAGCGGUCCGGCCGGGAACUCAAAGGAGACUGCCAGUGAUAAACUGGAGGAAGGUGGGGAUGACGUCAAGUCAUCAUGGCCCUUACGACCAGGGCUACACACGUGCUACAAUGGCGCAUACAAAGAGAAGCGACCUCGCGAGAGCAAGCGGACCUCAUAAAGUGCGUCGUAGUCCGGAUUGGAGUCUGCAACUCGACUCCAUGAAGUCGGAAUCGCUAGUAAUCGUGGAUCAGAAUGCCACGGUGAAUACGUUCCCGGGCCUUGUACACACCGCCCGUCACACCAUGGGAGUGGGUUGCAAAAGAAGUAGGUAGCUUAACCUUCGGGAGGGCGCUUACCACUUUGUGAUUCAUGACUGGGGUGAAGUCGUAACAAGGUAACCGUAGGGGAACCUGCGGUUGGAUCAC